GUAGGGAGCGAGCGUUAUCCGGAUUUAUUGGGUGUAAAGGGUGCGUAGACGGGAAGUUAAGUUAGUUGUGAAAUCCCAAGGCUCAACUUUGGAACUGCAACUAAAACUAAUUUUCUUGAGUACUGGAGAGGAAAGUGGAAUUCCUAGUGUAGCGGUGAAAUGCGUAGAUAUUAGGAGGAACACCAGUGGCGAAGGCGACUUUCUGGACAGAAACUGACGUUGAGGCACGAAAGUGUGGGGAGCAAA
RNAcentral lists this ribosomal RNA (246 nucleotides) under uncultured bacterium. RNAcentral describes it as "partial 16S ribosomal RNA". It matches the Rfam family "Bacterial small subunit ribosomal RNA", at positions 527 to 772 of the family's 1533-position model. The record is from RNAcentral.